GGGCGAUUAACUCAGUUGGUUAGAGUGUCUGUCUUACACACAGGAUGUCGCAGGUUCGAGUCCUGCAUCGCCCACCA
This 77-nucleotide transfer RNA is filed under the name Opitutales bacterium. RNAcentral's name for it is "tRNA-Val". It matches the Rfam family "tRNA". Rfam says of the family: Transfer RNA (tRNA) molecules are approximately 80 nucleotides in length. Their secondary structure includes four short double-helical elements and three loops (D, anti-codon, and T loops). The record is from RNAcentral. Lineage: Bacteria; Pseudomonadati; Verrucomicrobiota; Opitutia; Opitutales. RNAcentral also lists the same sequence under 1 other name.